RNAcentral lists this ribosomal RNA (468 nucleotides) under uncultured bacterium. Its description in RNAcentral is "partial 16S ribosomal RNA". It matches the Rfam family "Bacterial small subunit ribosomal RNA", at positions 28 to 507 of the family's 1533-position model. The record is from RNAcentral.
GACGAACGCUGGCGGCGUGCUUAACACAUGCAAGUCGAACGGAAAGGCCCUGCUUUUGUGGGGUGCUCGAGUGGCGAACGGGUGAGUAACACGUGAGUAACCUGCCCUUGACUUUGGGAUAACUUCAGGAAACUGGGGCUAAUACCGGAUAGGAGCUCCUGCUGCAUGGUGGGGGUUGGAAAGUUUCGGCGGUUGGGGAUGGACUCGCGGCUUAUCAGCUUGUUGGUGGGGUAGUGGCUUACCAAGGCUUUGACGGGUAGCCGGCCUGAGAGGGUGACCGGCCACAUUGGGACUGAGAUACGGCCCAGACUCCUACGGGAGGCAGCAGUGGGGAAUAUUGCACAACGGGCGGAAGCCUGAUGCAGCAACGCCGCGUGCGGGAUGACGGCCCUCGGGUUGUAAACCGCUUUCGCCUGUGACGAAGCGUGAGUGACGGUAGUGGGUAAAGAAGCACCGGCUAACUACGUG